Molecule: long non-coding RNA, 1300 nt
Filed under: Oryzias javanicus (javanese ricefish)
Lineage: Eukaryota; Metazoa; Chordata; Actinopteri; Beloniformes; Adrianichthyidae
Description: lncRNA (ENSOJAG00000014385.1)
Source: RNAcentral
GCAUUGAGGCCAAGACAAUCAGUUGAGGCUCAAACUGAGCAUCAAAACGGGGAAGAAAGGUGAUUGAAGUGACUUUGAUGGAUGUUGGUCUGAGGAUUUCAGGAACUGUUGAGCUACUGGGAUUUUCACCCACAGCCUUCUCUAUAGGUUGACGGAGAACGGUCCAAAAAAACCCAGAAAAUAUCCAGUGAGUUGCAGUUCUGUGGCCAGAAAUGUUGUUGAUGCCAGAGAAUUUGGCAUCAACACCAUAAAAAGCAGAGAACCAUCCUGUCAACGGUUAAGGCUGGUGGAGGCGGCGUAAUGGCGUAGGGGAUGUUUUCCACACUUUGGACCCCUUAGUCCCAAUUGAUCACGGUUCCAACACCACAGUCUACCUGAAUAUUAUUACUGACCACGUCCAUCUCUUUAUGACUACAGUGUACCAUCUUCUGAUGCUACUUCCAGCAGGAUAAGGCGCCAUGUCAUAACGCUGGAAUCAUCUUUCUUCAACAUGACAAAAGUUCACUAGACUCAAAUGACCUUCAAAGUCACCAGAUCUGAACCCAAUAGAUCACCUUUGGGAUGUACAGGAGAUCGCCGUCAUGGAUGCCAAUCAAACGACAAAUCUGCAGCAACUCUGUGAAGCUUUUGUCUUGGUGCCUCCCCUGGUCUCUCUUGGACCCAGCUGUUGGACAUCAGGGCCCGCUCCAGUAUUCAUCGCCAGUUCGUUACCUCACUGGGUCAAUCGUCCAAUCGCCAACCUGGGUCCGUCAUACCACACCACACUCACAGCCUGCCUCACCGCCUAGAUCAUCGCACCAUCGCUCCUAAUCUACUCGUCACCCACUCCGUUCCUGUCCCGGCAUCAGCCCAAUACCCACGGACAAUAAACUUUCGCUCUUCAGUUUCCCCUGUAUUCCUUUCGGGUUCCAGCACCUGGGUCUGCCUCGCUCCGUGACCAUGACAGCUUUCAUGUCAACGUGGACCAAACACUCGGAGGAAUGUUUCUGUGACAGGGUGAAGUUUUUAUUUUGAGUUUUUUAAAUGCAGAGGGUCCCUGAAGGCAUCACCUUAAGGGAAAUUAGGCACGGGUGUGCCUAAUCAGGGACCCUUUUUAAGUAACUUCCAGAAGAGGAGGGAGAAGAACAGAGAGAGGAAAGAGACCAGGGCCCUGAAGUGGUGGGGAGUGGGGAAGCCACCCCCACCGGCCUGGGAGAUGGGUGCAGUACGGCGCGCGGCGGAAGAGCCUGCGCCGGGGUCGAUGCCCGAGGGAGCGCGGCGGGAGAGCCAGCACCGGGGUCGAUGCCCGAGGGAGCGCGGC